GUGCCUACGGGGCGCAGCAGUGGGGAAUAUUGCACAAUGGGGGAAACCCUGAUGCAGCGACGCCGCGUGAGUGAAGAAGUAUCUCGGUACGUAAAGCUCUAUCAGCAGGGAAGAAAAUGACGGUACCUGACUAAGAAGCCCCGGCUAACUACGUGCCAGCAGCCGCGGUAAUACGUAGGGGGCAAGCGUUAUCCGGAUUUACUGGGUGUAAAGGGAGCGUAGACGGCAGCACAAGUCUGGGGUGAAAGCUCGGGGCUUAACUCCGG
This 266-nucleotide ribosomal RNA is filed under the name uncultured bacterium. Its description in RNAcentral is "partial 16S ribosomal RNA". It matches the Rfam family "Bacterial small subunit ribosomal RNA", at positions 334 to 618 of the family's 1533-position model. The record is from RNAcentral.